GUAAAUCAUCAAUCACACUAGACUCGGGCUCCAUUAGCAACCUUAAGCAAUUUCACACAUGCGUUAAUUCAAGAAAUACCGUUUUAUCAUUUUGAACUUUAAUACCGUGAUAGGAAAUAGGGUGAGGGGUCCUUACUUGUUUUCGAGAUCCGAAUACGAUUCACAGUGCGCCUGCAGGCCGUCCCUAAUUUUCCCUGAAUUUUUUCCCGGGGAACUGAAACACACUAACAGUACCUGCACGUGUUCCAAAAAAAAUCCAAAUUAGGCCCAGGGCCCCUUUCGGACCAAAUCGCAACUCCGGCACGGCGGCUCCGCCCUGCUCCGGCGACGGCGCCGCCGCUGGCGGCGGCGAGUCGCCUCGGGUUGACUGUUUUCGGCCGUUUUCGGCCGAAUUCGGCCACACUCGCAUUGGUCCUUGUCAGAAAACAACCCUAGGGCCCUCGGGGGGCCAAAAAAUCACGGAAAAACGGAGCUUACCGGCGGCGGCGCUCUCGGGUGCAGCGGCUCUCCGGCGAGGUUCGUGUUUUGGUGAUUCGGCUCCGGUCAACC
Molecule: long non-coding RNA, 549 nt
Filed under: Carica papaya (papaya)
Lineage: Eukaryota; Viridiplantae; Streptophyta; Magnoliopsida; Brassicales; Caricaceae
Description: long non-coding RNA (CPAP_LNC013430)
Source: RNAcentral